This 917-nucleotide ribosomal RNA is filed under the name uncultured bacterium. Its description in RNAcentral is "bacterial SSU rRNA". It matches the Rfam family "Bacterial small subunit ribosomal RNA", at positions 1 to 917 of the family's 1533-position model. The record is from RNAcentral.
UAGAGUUUGAUCCUGGCUCAGAUUGAACGCUGGCGGCAGGCCUAACACAUGCAAGUCGAGCGGAUGAAGGGAGCUUGCUCCUGGAUUCAGCGGCGGACGGGUGAGUAAUGCCUAGGAAUCUGCCUGGUAGUGGGGGAUAACGUCCGGAAACGGGCGCUAAUACCGCAUACGUCCUGAGGGAGAAAGUGGGGGAUCUUCGGACCUCACGCUAUCAGAUGAGCCUAGGUCGGAUUAGCUAGUUGGUGGGGUAAAGGCCUACCAAGGCGACGAUCCGUAACUGGUCUGAGAGGAUGAUCAGUCACACUGGAACUGAGACACGGUCCAGACUCCUACGGGAGGCAGCAGUGGGGAAUAUUGGACAAUGGGCGAAAGCCUGAUCCAGCCAUGCCGCGUGUGUGAAGAAGGUCUUCGGAUUGUAAAGCACUUUAAGUUGGGAGGAAGGGCAGUAAGUUAAUACCUUGCUGUUUUGACGUUACCAACAGAAUAAGCACCGGCUAACUUCGUGCCAGCAGCCGCGGUAAUACGAAGGGUGCAAGCGUUAAUCGGAAUUACUGGGCGUAAAGCGCGCGUAGGUGGUUCAGCAAGUUGGAUGUGAAAUCCCCGGGCUCAACCUGGGAACUGCAUCCAAAACUACUGAGCUAGAGUACGGUAGAGGGUGGUGGAAUUUCCUGUGUAGCGGUGAAAUGCGUAGAUAUAGGAAGGAACACCAGUGGCGAAGGCGACCACCUGGACUGAUACUGACACUGAGGUGCGAAAGCGUGGGGAGCAAACAGGAUUAGAUACCCUGGUAGUCCACGCCGUAAACGAUGUCGACUAGCCGUUGGGAUCCUUUGAGAUCUUAGUGGCGCAGCUAACGCGAUAAGUCGACCGCCUGGGGGAGUACGGCCGCAAGGUUAAAACUCAAAGGAAUUGACGGC